UACGUAGGUGGCAAGCGUUGUCCGGAUUUACUGGGCGUAAAGAGCGCGCAGGCGGUCGUUUAAGUCGCGUGUGAAAGCCCCCGGCUCAACUGGGGAGGGUCACGCGAUACUGAUCGACUCGAAGGCAGGAGAGGGUAGUGGAAUUCCCGGUGUAGUGGUGAAAUGCGUAGAUAUCGGGAGGAACACCAGUGGCGAAGGCGACUACCUGGCCUGUUUCUUGACGCUGAGGCGCGAAAGCUAGGGGAGCAAACGGG
This 254-nucleotide ribosomal RNA is filed under the name uncultured bacterium. Its description in RNAcentral is "partial 16S ribosomal RNA". It matches the Rfam family "Bacterial small subunit ribosomal RNA", at positions 524 to 776 of the family's 1533-position model. The record is from RNAcentral.